This 341-nucleotide unclassified non-coding RNA is filed under the name uncultured fungus. Its description in RNAcentral is "partial contains small subunit ribosomal RNA, internal transcribed spacer 1, and 5.8S ribosomal RNA". The stretch from base 1 to 73 matches the Rfam family "Eukaryotic small subunit ribosomal RNA", at positions 1759 to 1831 of the family's 1831-position model. Lineage: Eukaryota; Fungi. The record is from RNAcentral.
GCAAACUUGGUCAUUUAGAGGAAGUAAAAGUCGUAACAAGGUUUCCGUAGGUGAACCUGCGGAAGGAUCAUUAACGUAUCAUCUGACGGGUCCGCCCCGCCCUGCUCCAGUCCUGAUGCCGAAAGGGCUGCUGAACAAGCGGGCGGUACGGUCCCGUCCAAACCUCACAAACCCACCGUGAACCUUCAGGCGCCCCAGGGGCUCCGGUCACCGCCGGGACCCCUGAGGCCGCAUACAAACUCCAGUUGCAAAGAAUGUACGUGCGGACUUUGAGCCGCCUAAAACACAUAACAACUUUCAACAACGGAUCUCUUGGCUCUCGCAUCGAUGAAGAACGCAGC